AGUGUGAAUUGCAGAAUUCAGUGAAUCAUCGAAUCUUUGAACGCACAUUGCGCCCCUUGGUAUUCCAUGGGGCAUGCCUGUUCGAGCGUCAUUUGUACUCUCAAGCCUUGCUUGGUGUUGGGUGUUUGUCUCGCCCUGCUCAGACUCGCCUUAAAUAUAUUGGCAGCCG
RNAcentral lists this ribosomal RNA (169 nucleotides) under Mycosphaerella recutita. Its description in RNAcentral is "5.8S ribosomal RNA". The stretch from base 1 to 91 matches the Rfam family "5.8S ribosomal RNA", at positions 64 to 154 of the family's 154-position model. Rfam says of the family: 5.8S ribosomal RNA (5.8S rRNA) is a component of the large subunit of the eukaryotic ribosome. It is transcribed by RNA polymerase I as part of the 45S precursor that also contains 18S and 28S rRNA. Lineage: Eukaryota; Fungi; Ascomycota; Dothideomycetes; Mycosphaerellales; Mycosphaerellaceae. The record is from RNAcentral.